AAUGUACUCCCUCCGUUUCAUAAUUUUUGUCUCAAAUUUGUCUGAAAAUGGAUGUAUCUAUUCUUAAAAACGGUCUAGAUACAUGUAAUAUUUCGACGAGAAUUAUGAAACGGAGAGAGUAGAUG
Molecule: non-coding RNA, 125 nt
Organism: Brachypodium distachyon (stiff brome)
Lineage: Eukaryota; Viridiplantae; Streptophyta; Magnoliopsida; Poales; Poaceae
Source: Rfam